RNAcentral lists this transfer RNA (82 nucleotides) under Toxocara canis (dog roundworm). It matches the Rfam family "tRNA". Rfam says of the family: Transfer RNA (tRNA) molecules are approximately 80 nucleotides in length. Lineage: Eukaryota; Metazoa; Nematoda; Chromadorea; Rhabditida; Toxocaridae. The record is from Rfam by way of RNAcentral.
GCACCGAUGUCCGAGUGGCUAAGGAGUUUGACUCAAAAUCAAAUGGGCUCUGCGCGCGUAGGUUCGAAUCCUGUUCGCUGCG